GACGAACGCUGGCGGCGUGCCUAAUACAUGCCAGUUGAGCGAUGAAGAUUGGUGCUUGCACCAAUUUGAAGAGCAGCGAACGGGUGAGUAACGCGUGGGGAAUCUGCCUUUGAGCGGGGGACAACAUUUGGAAACGAAUGCUAAUACCGCAUAAUAACUUUAAACAUAAGUUUUAAGUUUGAAAGAUGCAAUUGCAUCACUCAAAGAUGAUCCCGCGUUGUAUUAGCUAGUUGGUGGGGUAAAGGCUCACCAAGGCGAUGAUACAUAGCCGACCUGAGAGGGUGAUCGGCCACAUUGGGACUGAGACACGGCCCAAACUCCUACGGGAGGCAGCAGUAGGGAAUCUUCGGCAAUGGACGAAAGUCUGACCGAGCAACGCCGCGUGAGUGAAGAAGGUUUUCGGAUCGUAAAACUCUGUUGGUAGAGAAGAACGUUGGUGAGAGUGGAAAGCUCAUCAAGUGACGGUAACUACCCAGAAAGGGACGGCUAACUACGUG
This 497-nucleotide ribosomal RNA is filed under the name uncultured bacterium. RNAcentral's name for it is "partial 16S ribosomal RNA". It matches the Rfam family "Bacterial small subunit ribosomal RNA", at positions 28 to 507 of the family's 1533-position model. The record is from RNAcentral.